AGUCAUACGCUCGUCUCAAAGAUUAAGCCAUGCGUGUCUAAGUAUAAACCAUUUUAUGCGGUGAAACUGCGAAUGGCUCAUUAUAUCCGUUAUUAUCUAUUCGAUAGUGCCUUUCUACUUGGAUAACCGUAGUAAUUCUAGAGUUAAUACAUGCCUAAAGACCCAACUGGUUGUCGGACGGGUUGUAUUUAUUAGAUUGAAACCCAUACUCUUCGGAGUUUUUGAGUUGAGUCAUAAUUACUGUGCGGAUCGCGUUUUUCGCGAUAAAUCGAAUGAGUUUUUUCCCUAUCAGCUUUCGAUGGUAGGAUAUAGGCCUACCCUGGCAUUUACGGGUAACGGGGAAUUAGGGUUUGAUUCCGGGGAGGGAGCCUUAGAAACGGCUUCCCCAUCCAAGGAAGGCAGCAGGCGGGGAAAUUACCCAAUCCUGACACAGGGAGGUAGUGACAAUAAAUAACCAUGCCGGGCUUUUUCAAGUCUGGCAAUUGGAAAGGGGACAAUUUAAAUCCCUUAUCGAGGAUCAAU
This 522-nucleotide ribosomal RNA is filed under the name uncultured eukaryote. RNAcentral's name for it is "SSU rRNA". It matches the Rfam family "Eukaryotic small subunit ribosomal RNA", at positions 22 to 548 of the family's 1831-position model. The record is from RNAcentral.